CGGGAUUGAAAUUUAGAUGGCGGCAGAUGAGAGUUUGCUUUCCUUCGGGACAUCUAAGUAGGUGCUGCAUGGUUGUCGUCAGCUCGUGCCGUGAGGUGUCGGCUUAAGUGCCAUAACGAGCGCAACCCGCGUUGAUAGUUACUAACAGGUUAUGCUGAGGACUCUAUCGAGACAGCCGUCGUAAGACGUGAGGAAGGGGCGGAUGACGUCAAAUCAGCACGGCCCUUACAUCCGGGGCGACACACGUGUUACAAUGGCAGGGACAAAGGGAAGCGACAUGGUGACAUGAAGCGGAUCUCCAAACCCUGUCCCAGUUCGGAUCGGAGUCUGCAACUCGACUCCGUGAAGCUGGAUUCGCUAGUAAUCGCGCAUCAGCCAUGGCGCGGUGAAUACGUUCCCGGGCC
Molecule: ribosomal RNA, 404 nt
Filed under: uncultured bacterium
Lineage: Bacteria
Description: bacterial SSU rRNA
Rfam family: Bacterial small subunit ribosomal RNA
Source: RNAcentral